UGACGGAAACAUUUUUGGCUUCCCCUUCUUGUUAAGAUGAAGCCAACGACGUUAAAGGCUUUGGCUUGAGCUAAACCUACUAACGGUGCUACGCACCUUCGUUGCAUUGUAAUCCCUAUUACCUGUGCUCUCCACUUAGCUUAACUCUACGUAGUACAAAUCUCGCUAAAAAGACAAUCUAACUACGUCAUGGUGCGUUGCACCUAGUUUAAGAGUCACAACGUGACCUUUUUCUAGUGCUGUUGGUUCUCCCCUUUGGUUCCCCUAAAGGGGACGAACACAAGUCAUAACUACUUUGUCACUUGACUCGGGCCUUGGGCUUUCCUUUGUUGUCCCCCUUCUUCCCCUUUAGUUCCCCUUUAUGGGAAGACGAAGGGGUUCCCCUUUGGGGAAGAAGAAGAGCCAGGGGCCCCCUCACAACAUAGCAUGUUCGUCUAACGUAGGGAUUAGUCCGUAGGAGGUAUUGUUGAACGUCACGCGUUUGCUUGGUUAUGCUACGGUAUACGUAGUCCCCUAGAAGAAACUACGUUAUUCUAGGGAUUGGUAGAGACAGCAUUCACCAUAUAUGGUGAAAGAACUACAAACUCACAGAACUCGUGCUGUGAGCAUACGGCCCAGGCCGGAUGGUAGCUUUUCUUCCCCUUCCCCUUUAGUUCCCCUUUAGGGGAUGAACUCCUUUAGUUCCCCUUUAGGGGAUGAACUCCUUUAGUUCCCCUUUAGGGGAUGAACAAAGGGGUACCGAAGGGGUUCCCCUUUAGGGGAAGACAACGUGGUCCCCCUUUUUUGCAUUCGGNCGAAUACACGACGGUGCGCAGCACCGGAGUACCUUAAUAACUUUUAUAAAGUUUCUUAAUAAUAAACUACAAAAACAAUACAAAUCACUUUUAAUUGCUUAUAAAAGCUUUUAUUUUGUAUUUAAUCAUCACUUUUUUGUUUUUGGGACUUAUUUCGUUUUUAAAAAUAAGAGCCGUUUAUAUUAUAAACCAAAAAACGCGGAAUAUCUAGGAGGUAAAGCCCUUGUGACGUAAGGAACAUACGCCCAAAGUGCUAGUAACUAUGUGCUUUGUACGUAGCUUGACGUAGUCAUGCUAACAUAUAGACGACACCUUAGGG
This 1113-nucleotide long non-coding RNA is filed under the name Volvox carteri. Its description in RNAcentral is "long non-coding RNA (VCAR_LNC004413)". The record is from RNAcentral. Lineage: Eukaryota; Viridiplantae; Chlorophyta; Chlorophyceae; Chlamydomonadales; Volvocaceae.